Molecule: ribosomal RNA, 907 nt
Filed under: uncultured candidate division WS6 bacterium
Lineage: Bacteria
Description: bacterial SSU rRNA
Rfam family: Bacterial small subunit ribosomal RNA
Source: RNAcentral
GUGGAGGAUGACGGCCCUAGGGUUGUAAACUCCUUUUAUACACGAACAAGGUUCUGAUUGUAGUGUAUGAAUAAGUACCUGCUAAUCACGUGCCAGAAGCAUCGGUAAUACGUGAGAGUACGAGCGUUAUCCGGAUUUACUGGGCGUAAAGAGAGGCGUAUGCGUCUUCCACAACGUCGNUAGUGAAAUCUUCCGGCUACAACCGGAAACAGGCAAGCGAUAACUGGGUUGAUUGAGGAAUGUAGGGGAGAGCGGAAUUCCUGGUGGAGCGGUUACAUGCGUACAUAUCAGGAGGAACACCGAUGGCGAAGGCAGCUCUCUGGACAUUUCCUGACGCUAAGGCUCGAAAGCGUGGGUAGCAAAGCAGAUUAUAUACCCGUGUAGUCCACGCCGUAAACGAUCCCUGAUAAGUGUUUGUCUCAUGCUUAUAUUUCCUUCGGGAUUUGUAGGUUGUGGGAUGAGUGCCACAGCUAACGCACUAAGCAGGGCGCCUGGGGAGUACGGUCGCAAGAUUGAAACUCAAAGGAAUUGACGGGGACCCGCACAAGCAGUGGAGCGCCUGGUUUAAUUCGAUGAUCCGCGAAAAAUCUCACCUGGGUUUGAACUGUAGCUGCAGUCCUGAUGAAAGUCGGGAUGCCUUCGAGGGUGCUACAGAGGUGAUGCAUGGUUGUCGUCAGCUCGUGUCGUGAGAUGUAGGGUUAAGUCCCACAACGAGCGCAACCCCUACCCAGUGUUAUAUAUUUUUCUGGGAACUGCCUUGCCAAAACGAGGAGGAAGGAGGGGAUGACGUCCAAUCAGCAUGUCCCUUAUGUCCAGGGCUACACAGACGCUACAAUGGCCAGUACAACGGGCAGCCAAACCGCGAGGUGGAGCUAAUCCCAGCAAAACUGGUCCCAGUUCGGAUUGU